RNAcentral lists this signal recognition particle RNA (260 nucleotides) under Marmota monax (woodchuck). It matches the Rfam family "Metazoan signal recognition particle RNA", at positions 17 to 275 of the family's 299-position model. Rfam says of the family: The signal recognition particle (SRP) is a universally conserved ribonucleoprotein. The record is from RNAcentral. Lineage: Eukaryota; Metazoa; Chordata; Mammalia; Rodentia; Sciuridae.
CGCGCCUGUAGUCCCAGCUACUCGGGAGGCUGAGGCAGGAGGAUCGCUUGAGCCCAGGAGUUCUGGGCUGUAGUGUGCUAUGCCGAUCGGGUGUCCGCACUAAGUUCGGCAUCAAUAUGGUGACCUCCCGGGAGCGGGGGGCCACCAGGUUGCCUAAGGAGGGGUGAACCGGCCCAGGUCGGAAACGGAGCAGGUCAAAACUCCCGUGCUGAUCAGUAGUGGGAUCGCGCCUGUGAAUAGCUACUGCGCUCCAGCCUGGG